Molecule: long non-coding RNA, 586 nt
Organism: Mustela erminea (ermine)
Lineage: Eukaryota; Metazoa; Chordata; Mammalia; Carnivora; Mustelidae
Exons: 2
Source: RefSeq, a predicted model, not a curated record
GCCGUUCCCUCCCACCCGCCACCUCCGAGGCCAGAGCCCUCAAGCUAGGGGCCCACCCCUGCACUGCAGCUCCCGCCUCCCGUCAACCGCCUUCCGGCGCGUCUGGAACGUUCUGCGCCGGAACAAAGGCCCUAGGGCGGAAGCGAGGGUUCCAAGCUGAAAGCCCGGGCUUGGCGGGGCAUCUACUCCUAGUGAAUCCUAAUGACAACUGGAAGGGUGCAAACCUGAGGAUCCACAAAUUCUUACAUAAAGACAAACUGUGUUUACUGCUAUCAGAGAAAGGCCAGGAACUAUAAGAGGGGAUCCUAACCUAAAUUCUGGAGCAGGAAAGGCCAUUCUGAGGAAGUCACAUUUAACUGAGGCCAAGAUGAUGAGCAGGACUUCCACACAGAAGAGUGAGAUCCCCUGAAGAAGGAAGGGGCUUCAUGGUGGGAAGACUUGAAAAGAGGGCUCUCUGGUCCAAGGGUGGCUGGGUGCAGUAACGAAGCUCAGGAAGGUAACGUAGGAGUUGGAGAGUAGAUGGAGUCACACUUCUCACAGGGAGGCCAGUGGGGAAAAGAGGCAUUGAGGGAGAAAAAAAAAAAAA